GAUGAACGCUAGCUACAGGCUUAACACAUGCAAGUCGAGGGGCAGCAUUGGAGUAGCAAUACUUCAGAUGGCGACCGGCGCACGGGUGAGUAACACGUAUCCAACCUGCCGCUUACUCGGGGAUAGCCUUUCGAAAGAAAGAUUAAUACCCGAUGGUAUAAAGAGUUCGCAUGUUCUCUUUAUUAAAGAACUUCGGUAAGCGAUGGGGAUGCGUUCCAUUAGAUUGUUGGCGGGGUAACGGCCCACCAAGUCUACGAUGGAUAGGGGUUCUGAGAGGAAGGUCCCCCACAUUGGAACUGAGACACGGUCCAAACUCCUACGGGAGGCAGCAGUGAGGAAUAUUGGUCAAUGGACGAGAGUCUGAACCAGCCAAGUAGCGUGAAGGAUGACUGCCCUAUGGGUUGUAAACUUCUUUUACAAGGGAAUAAAGUGAGGGACGUGUCCCUUUUUGUAUGUACCUUAUGAAUAAGGAUCGGCUAACUCCGUGCCAGCCGCCGCGGUAA
Molecule: ribosomal RNA, 503 nt
Filed under: uncultured bacterium
Lineage: Bacteria
Description: partial 16S ribosomal RNA
Rfam family: Bacterial small subunit ribosomal RNA
Source: RNAcentral